GAAAUAUUAUUCAAAUUUUGAAUUUCUAAUUCAAAUAAAAAUAUUAGAUUAUUUAUAUUUCU
This 62-nucleotide transfer RNA is filed under the name Eupelmus anpingensis. RNAcentral's name for it is "tRNA-Ser". Lineage: Eukaryota; Metazoa; Arthropoda; Insecta; Hymenoptera; Eupelmidae. The record is from RNAcentral.